RNAcentral lists this ribosomal RNA (137 nucleotides) under uncultured eukaryote. Its description in RNAcentral is "partial 18S ribosomal RNA". It matches the Rfam family "Eukaryotic small subunit ribosomal RNA", at positions 1299 to 1458 of the family's 1831-position model. The record is from RNAcentral.
UGGUGGAGUGAUUUGUCUGGUUAAUUCCGAUAACGAACGAGACCUUAACCUGCUAACUAGACUCGUCUAUUCCAUAGAUGAAGUCUUCUUAGAGGGACUAUGCUACGAUGAGUACAUGGAAGUUUGAGGCAAUAACA